UUGGAAACUGAUUUAUUUGAGUGCGAUAGAGGCAAGUGGAACUCCAUGUGUAGCGGUGAAAUGCGUAAAAUAUGUGGAAGAACACCAGUGGCGAAAGCGGCUUGCUAGAUCGUAACUGACGUUGAGGCUCGAAAGUAUGGGUAGCAAACGGGAUUAGAUACCCCGGUAGUCCAUACCGUAAACGAUGGGUGCUAGUUGUUAAGAGGUUUCCGCCUCCUAGUGACGUAGCAAACGCAUUAAGCACCCCGCCUGAGGAGUACGGCCGCAAGGCUAAAACUUAAAGGAAUUGACGGGGACCCGCACAAGCGG
Molecule: ribosomal RNA, 309 nt
Filed under: uncultured bacterium
Lineage: Bacteria
Description: bacterial SSU rRNA
Rfam family: Bacterial small subunit ribosomal RNA
Source: RNAcentral